This 466-nucleotide ribosomal RNA is filed under the name uncultured bacterium. RNAcentral's name for it is "bacterial SSU rRNA". It matches the Rfam family "Bacterial small subunit ribosomal RNA", at positions 329 to 792 of the family's 1533-position model. The record is from RNAcentral.
UUCCAGACUCCUACGGGAGGCAGCAGUGAGGAAUAUUGGUCAAUGGGCGCGAGCCUGAACCAGCCAAGUCGCGUGGGGGAGGACGGCCCUACGGGUUGUAAACCUCUUUUGCCGGGGAGCAACGGGCGUCACGUGUGGCGCCACUGAGAGUACCCGGAGAAAAAGCAUCGGCUAACUCCGUGCCAGCAGCCGCGGUAAUACGGAGGAUGCGAGCGUUAUCCGGAUUUAUUGGGUUUAAAGGGUGCGUAGGCGGGAUGCCAAGUCAGCGGUAAAAAUGCGGUGCUCAACGCCGUCGAGCCGUUGAAACUGGCGUUCUUGAGUGGGCGAGAAGUAUGCGGAAUGCGUGGUGUAGCGGUGAAAUGCAUAGAUAUCACGCAGAACUCCGAUUGCGAAGGCAGCAUACCGGCGCCCUACUGACGCUGAGGCACGAAAGCGUGGGUAUCGAACAGGAUUAGAUACCCUUGUA